GAUGAACGCUGGCGGCGUGCCUAAUACAUGCCAGUCGAGCGAACAGACGAGGAGCUUGCUCCUCUGACGUUAGCGGCGGACGGGUGAGUAACACGUGGAUAACCUACCUAUAAGACUGGGAUAACUUCGGGAAACCGGAGCUAAUACCGGAUAAUAUAUUGAACCGCAUGGUUCAAUAGUGAAAGACGGUUUUGCUGUCACUUAUAGAUGGAUCCGCGCCGCAUUAGCUAGUUGGUAAGGUAACGGCUUACCAAGGCAACGAUGCGUAGCCGACCUGAGAGGGUGAUCGGCCACACUGGAACUGAGACACGGUCCAGACUCCUACGGGAGGCAGCAGUAGGGAAUCUUCCGCAAUGGGCGAAAGCCUGACGAAGCAACGCCGCGUGAGUGAUGAAGGUCUUCGGAUCGUAAAACUCUGUUAUUAGGGAAGAACAAAUGUGUAAGUAACUAUGCACGUCUUGACGGUACCUAAUCAGAAAGCCACGGCUAACUACGUG
This 497-nucleotide ribosomal RNA is filed under the name uncultured bacterium. RNAcentral's name for it is "partial 16S ribosomal RNA". It matches the Rfam family "Bacterial small subunit ribosomal RNA", at positions 28 to 507 of the family's 1533-position model. The record is from RNAcentral.